RNAcentral lists this ribosomal RNA (253 nucleotides) under uncultured bacterium. RNAcentral describes it as "partial 16S ribosomal RNA". It matches the Rfam family "Bacterial small subunit ribosomal RNA", at positions 524 to 776 of the family's 1533-position model. The record is from RNAcentral.
UACGUAGGGGGCUAGCGUUGUCCGGAAUCAUUGGGCGUAAAGCGCGUGUAGGCGGUCCGGUAAGUCCGCUGUGAAAGUCGAGGGCUCAACCCUCGAAUGCCGGUGGAUACUGUCGGGCUUGAGUACGGGAGAGGCGAGUGGAAUUCCUGGUGUAGCGAUGAAAUGCGCAGAUAUCAGGAGGAACACCGAUGGCGAAGGCAGCUCGCUGGGACGGUACUGACGCUGAGGCGCGAAAGCGUGGGGAGCAAACAGG